Molecule: ribosomal RNA, 421 nt
Filed under: uncultured bacterium
Lineage: Bacteria
Description: partial 16S ribosomal RNA
Rfam family: Bacterial small subunit ribosomal RNA
Source: RNAcentral
AAUCUUGGACAAUGGGCGCAAGCCUGAUCCAGCCAUGCCGCGUGGGCGACGACGGUCUUCGGACUGUAAAGCCCUUUUCUCGGGGACGAACCCCCUCCGGAGGCACUGCCGGGGGGCUGACGGUACCCGCGGAAUAAGCAACGUCUAACUCCGUCCCAGCAGCCGCGGUAAUACGGAGGUUGCAAGCGUUGUUCGGAAUGACUGGGCGUAAAGGGAGCGCAGGCGGCCUUUUAAGUCCGGCGUGAAAGCCCGGGGCUCAACCCCGGCGGGUCGCCGGAUACUGGGAGGCUCGAGUACGGAAGAGGCGAGUGGAAUUCCGGGUGUAGCGGUGAAAUGCGUAGAUAUCCGGAGGAACACCGGUGGCGAAAGCGGCUCGCUGGUCCGAUACUGACGCUCAGGCUCGAAAGCGUGGGGAGCAAAC